CAGUCGCCGCGGUAACACGAGGGGUGCAAGCGUUAUUCGGAUUGAUUGGGUGUAAAGGGUGUGCAGACGGCUUAUUAAGUCACUUGUUAAAUUCUUCGGCCUAACUGAAGGUCUGCAAGUGAUACUGAAGAGCUAGAGGGUGGAAGAGAGAAGUGGAAUUCUCGGAGUAGCGGUAAAAUGCGUAGAUCUCGAGAGGAACACCAAUGGCGAAGGCAGCUUCUUGGUCCAUUCCUGACGUUCAUACACGAAAGCGUGGGGAGCAAACAGGAUUAGAUACCCCCGUAGUCCCUGUCUCUUAUAC
RNAcentral lists this ribosomal RNA (301 nucleotides) under uncultured bacterium. RNAcentral's name for it is "partial 16S ribosomal RNA". It matches the Rfam family "Bacterial small subunit ribosomal RNA", at positions 509 to 807 of the family's 1533-position model. The record is from RNAcentral.